AGAGGCAUGCAAGUCGUACGCACAGCAAUGUGAGUGGCGCAAGGGUGAGUAAUGCGAAGGUAACCAACCCUGGAGUUGGGCAUAGCCGCGGGAAACUGCGGGUAAUUCCCAGCGAUGUUACGAGGUGGCAUCAUCUUGUAACCAAAGGUGUGAUUCCGCUCUAGGACGGGCCUUCGUGGUAUUAGCUAGUUGGUGGGGUAACGGCCUACCAAGGCAACGAUGCCUACCGGGUGUGAGAGCAUGACCCGGCACACUGGAACUGAGACACUGUCCAGACACCUACGGGUGGCUGCAGUCGAGAAUCUUCGGCAAUGGGCGAAAGCCUGACCGAGCGACGCCGCGUGAGGGAUUGAAGGCCUUCGGGUUGUAAACCUCUUUCGUAGAGGAGGAAGGGACUGUGAAGAGCAGUUCUUGACCUAUUCUAGGAAGAAGCUUGGGCUAAGUUCGUGCCAGCAGCCGCGGUAAGACGAACCAAGCGAACGUUAUUCGGAAUUACUGGGCUUAAAGCGCGUGUAGGCGGACUGCCACGUCGGUUGUUGAAAUCCCCCGGCUUAACCGGGGAACAGGCACCGAUACGAGUAGUCUUGAGGUGGGUAGGGGAGACUGGAACUUCCGGUGGAGCGGUGAAAUGCGUUGAGAUCGGAAGGAACGCCCGCGGCGAAAGCGAGUCUCUGGCCCCAUACUGACGCUGAGACGCGAAAGCCAGGGGAGCAAACGGGAUUAGAUACCCGGUAGUCCUGGCUGUAAACAUUGGGCACUGGGUAGUGGAACCGCCGAUGGUUUUCACUGCCCGCAGGGAAACCGUGAAAGUGCCCCGCCU
Molecule: ribosomal RNA, 820 nt
Filed under: uncultured bacterium
Lineage: Bacteria
Description: bacterial SSU rRNA
Rfam family: Bacterial small subunit ribosomal RNA
Source: RNAcentral